GCCUGCUGAGCACAAGGUCUCCCUGUGAACUUCUUCCUGGCCUUCAGGGGUGCCUGUCUCCUUGGUAUGAUCACAUAGAGGAUGCCCAGAUCAUUAGAGGGCCUAGUAUGUCUUGGUGGGAAGAAACAAAACAGCAAAGGGAGUCCUAGGGGAGGAGGUGGGCUCCCCAUCCUUCUUGUUCUGGAAGUUCUUCAUCCCCUUGUUUCUCUGGUCUGGACUUCAGCUUCUUUAUGACUGGCUAUCUCCCACUGGGAUUUGAGUUUGCUGUGGAGCUCACGUACCCAGAAUCAGAAGGCAUCUCCUCCGGCCUCCUCAACAUAUCUGCACAGGUAUUUGGGAUCAUCUUUACCAUCUCCCAGGGCCAGAUUAUUGACAACUAUGGAACCAAGCCUGGGAACAUCUUCCUGUGUGUGUUCCUUACUCUUGGAGCAGCCCUCACUGCAUUCAUUAAGGCAGAUCUCCGGAGACAGAAAGCAAACAAAGAAACUCUUGAGAACGUGAGUAUGUGGGAGCUUUGUGGGGCUGAGAUCGGGGUCCAAGGAUUUUGAUGAGGAUGUGGCAACAUAGAUGGGGCA
RNAcentral lists this small RNA (575 nucleotides) under Pan troglodytes (chimpanzee). Its description in RNAcentral is "retained intron". Lineage: Eukaryota; Metazoa; Chordata; Mammalia; Primates; Hominidae. The record is from RNAcentral.